Molecule: long non-coding RNA, 238 nt
Filed under: Mytilus galloprovincialis (Mediterranean mussel)
Lineage: Eukaryota; Metazoa; Mollusca; Bivalvia; Mytilida; Mytilidae
Source: RNAcentral
CAACCCUCCACAGGGUGAGUUUUCUGUUAAACUGUAGUUUAUAACCUUUAUUUGUAUAUCCGAUUUACGUAUUUAAAGUCUAAGGUCAGUCCUUUUGAUUUAAAUUGUGAUUUCAAACGAUUCUCAGGAGUCAUAUCUCACGUCACACUUAUUUUGUAUUUUGCAUGUCAAAUUAAGCAUUGCGAUGUUUAUAUGAUAGUUAUUUUUAUUCCUGCAUUUAUUAUACACAAUUCUCAGU